UCUGUAGUUUUAGGGGAAUGUUUGUAUUAUACUUCCAAUCUAUGAACAUUUUUCCUUAAAUGAAAAACGCUCAUUAAAUACAAAAUCUAAUUGUAUUUCUUUGUAUAUGAGGCGAAAUAAUAUUUUUUACAACAUAAGUAUUAGUUUUAGUAUUUGUGUCUUGUCUUGCUGGAUAGUGUGAACAAAUCAACGGCCUAAUUCUCGCUUGCAAUACGGUAGAUUCCUGUGAAAGAUUCUUAUUAUUGCCAUGUCCUUGAGAAUAUGUUCUAAUAUGAUCUGAAGAUCUGCAAGACCUCACUGCCAUAAGGGAACUAUCCUCCCAUUGAUCGAUGGGAAAGACUAAUCACCAAAUCAGUCAACAAAUGCCUUUGUAUUAUUGUGAAAAAUAAUAAUACAUUUGCUGAAAAUGAAAUUAUAUUUAAAAGAAAUGGUCCAGUUAUUCAAACCAUGCUCCGGAUUUCUUUAAAAGAUAGACAGGAACACGGGCAGGAUGUUUAUACAGCAAAAUGUAAACAUUUUCCCUGGCCUUCUUUAAAUAAAAAUUCAACCAUAAAGCCCCGUUAGAUCAGCUAAUACUCAAUCUGAUGCAUUAUGUCCGUUUUAGACACAACCUUUGGAGAGGACUUUUCCUCCAAAAUGCAGAAAUGUUAUUAUUCCUACAAUAAAUUGUUAUAUUUGCUCAGGGAACCUAUAGUAGCACGGCUCUAGACCUUUCCGAGAUCCAGGCAAGAAAUCACGGAUGGGGAAUUCAGAUCGACUCACUCUAAACUCUUCCCCAGGACGGUGCUCGAUUUGAUGAAGCGGCAAAUUCCUCGUUGAGCGGGGGGUGUCGAGGUGGGGGGGACAUACUGUCCUGCACCCAAUCAUAUCCCAACGCCUCUCUCCCCCACCCCUCCCCCUCAACCCCCCUACCUUCUCAGACGACCCCCUGACCCCCUCCACGUAUUUAGAUCUCGCCAUCGACGUGAGAGAGAAAAAAAGUGAUGAGUCACUCCGGCGCCGUGUUUACGUUCAGGAGUCACGCAAGGAAGGAAAUCGACCGCGCCGGGCUAAAAGUGUCGAGGCGCAGAAAGCACUGUGUCGGUAUUAGAGGGGCUCGGUGACUGUCCUCUUGUGCCUUGAGCUCAGAGCUGUUAACCCCUCAGGAUCUGCUGUGGUGUUCUCACACGAGCACAAUGUCAGGCACUGCUGGGAUAUUUAACACGAUUCUGCUGUUUAGUUGUGCUAAUAGAGCACUGUAAUUUUAGAGUGAUUUGUACCAGCAUGUCAAUGAAGUUAAAUGAUCCUUGUCGUGUGUGUGUGGGUAGUCAGUUUUAGCCCUCUGUGUUGGUAAUGGACUGAAAUGUAUGAGUUUUGUUAAAAGUUGCUGUUGUACAAUCAGAAAAUGUGCCUGUGUAAUGUUAUAAAUAUUUAUAUCAAAUAAUGAUAUAUCUGUUUUGUCAAAAUUAGCUAAAUGAUGUGUGAAAGACUGCGGAUGAAGAUCACAUUUCUUCUCAUUGUAAGAAAGUAACUGACGGACACAGAAACCGAUGUUGUGAUUUUGUACAUAGCGUGUGCCUAGCAGGGAUUGGGACUGAGACUGAAACCACCGUAGCCAAUGCCUGUGAUUGUAAUAGAAUGUCUGUCUUGGGCUACACAACACAUCCACACUGUUCUUGCAUUGCGACACAGUUGCAGAGAGAGAGUUGCCUUUGUUAGUUUUUGCUGUGUAAAUAAAUGUGAACGCCUGAUAGACAAGUCA
This is a long non-coding RNA of Hypomesus transpacificus, 1741 nucleotides long. RefSeq lists it as uncharacterized. The record is from RefSeq and is a predicted model, not a curated record. The transcript has 2 exons. NCBI's taxonomy places the organism in Eukaryota, Metazoa, Chordata, Actinopteri, Osmeriformes, Osmeridae.